This is a non-coding RNA of Helianthus annuus (common sunflower), 84 nucleotides long. The record is from Rfam. NCBI's taxonomy places the organism in Eukaryota, Viridiplantae, Streptophyta, Magnoliopsida, Asterales, Asteraceae.
GUCUCUGAUGAUGAUCCAAAUAAAACUUUCGUUCUUCUGAAUAUCUUUGUGGAAACGAUUAUUGGAGACCUGAACUGAAGAGGC